This 247-nucleotide ribosomal RNA is filed under the name uncultured bacterium. RNAcentral describes it as "partial 16S ribosomal RNA". It matches the Rfam family "Bacterial small subunit ribosomal RNA", at positions 1254 to 1500 of the family's 1533-position model. The record is from RNAcentral.
GCAGUGAUGCAGAGCAAAUCCCCAAAAAGCAGUCUUAGUUCGGAUUGUAGGCUGCAACUCGCCUACAUGAAGUCGGAAUUGCUAGUAAUCGCGGAUCAGCAUGCCGCGGUGAAUACGUUCCCGGGCCUUGUACACACCGCCCGUCACACCAUGGGAGUCGGUAACACCCGAAGCCUGUAGUCUAACCGCAAGGAGGACGCAGUCGAAGGUGGGAUUGAUGACUGGGGUGAAGUCGUAACAAGGUAAC